RNAcentral lists this long non-coding RNA (398 nucleotides) under Homo sapiens (human). Its description in RNAcentral is "non-protein coding lnc-VGLL4-6:1". Lineage: Eukaryota; Metazoa; Chordata; Mammalia; Primates; Hominidae. The record is from RNAcentral.
CUUAAACCCAAUUAUAAAUGGCUUUGGCUAUAAAGUGUUCUUGAAUGAAAACGUUUAGGAAGUAGGCCUGGAUUCAGAUGCUUCAGAGGCUCAAAGGAAACAGGAAUCGUGGCUAACCAAAUCCAGCCCAACUGCUUCCUUGUUCACAUGGGGAAAUCGAGGAAGGCCCGGGGAGAGGAAGGCCUGGGGAGAGGAAGUUACUUGCCCAAGUUGCCCAGUUAAUUAGCCACAGAACCCAUGUCCCCCAACUCUGAAACAAGUUCCAGUUAAAGUCUUCACUGAUAACUUUAAAUCCUCCACUAACCAAGGGAGUCAUCUUUGCAUUUGCACAGAGGAGAUGGGAAAAUCACAAAGCCCUUAAGGUCCAGAAGAAAUGAGUGUCACUACGUUGGGCUCCC